GUUUGAUCCUGGCUCAGGGAUGAACGCUAGCGACAGGCCUAACACAUGCAAGUCGAGGGGCAGCGGAGAGGUAGCAAUACCUUUGCCGGCGACCGGCGCACGGGUGAGUAACACGUAUGCAAUCCACCUGUAACAGGGGGAUAACCCGGAGAAAUCCGGACUAAUACCCCAUAAUAUGGGCUCUCCGCAUGGAGGGUUCAUUAAAGAGAGCAAUUUUGGUUACAGACGAGCAUGCGCUCCAUUAGCCAGUUGGCGGGGUAACGGCCCACCAAAGCGACGAUGGAUAGGGGUUCUGAGAGGAAGGUCCCCCACAUUGGAACUGAGACACGGUCCAAACUCCUACGGGAGGCAGCAGUGAGGAAUAUUGGUCAAUGGUCGGCAGACUGAACCAGCCAAGUCGCGUGAGGGAAGACGGCCCUACGGGUUGUAAACCUCUUUUGUCGGAGAGUAAAGUACGCUACGUGUAGCGUAUUGCAAGUAUCCGAAGAAAAAGCAUCGGCUAACUCCGUGCCAGCAGCCGCGGUAAUACGGAGGAUGCGAGCGUUAUCCGGAUUUAUUGGGUUUAAAGGGUGCGUAGGCGGCACGCCAAGUCAGCGGUGAAAUUUUCGGGCUCAACCCGGACUGUGCCGUUGAAACUGGCGAGCUAG
This 647-nucleotide ribosomal RNA is filed under the name uncultured bacterium. Its description in RNAcentral is "bacterial SSU rRNA". It matches the Rfam family "Bacterial small subunit ribosomal RNA", at positions 11 to 644 of the family's 1533-position model. The record is from RNAcentral.